UCUUCUUUCUGCACACUAUCUCAACGGUCAGAGAGGCGAGAAAGUGUGUGAAAUGAAGAGA
This 61-nucleotide microRNA precursor is filed under the name Pristionchus pacificus. Its description in RNAcentral is "mir-8364 microRNA precursor family". It matches the Rfam family "mir-8364 microRNA precursor family". Lineage: Eukaryota; Metazoa; Nematoda; Chromadorea; Rhabditida; Neodiplogasteridae. The record is from Rfam by way of RNAcentral.